Molecule: ribosomal RNA, 404 nt
Filed under: Tylos albidus
Lineage: Eukaryota; Metazoa; Arthropoda; Malacostraca; Isopoda; Tylidae
Description: partial 16S large subunit ribosomal RNA
Rfam family: Archaeal large subunit ribosomal RNA
Source: RNAcentral
AAUUUGUCUUUUUAUUGGAGGCUAGUAUGAAGGAUUUUACGAAGGAUACUCUGUCUCAGCUUAUAAAAGUGAAUUUAACACUAAGGUAAAAAGGCCUUACUACACUAAAGGGACGACAAGACCCUAUAAAGCUUUACCCGGUAAGGCUAAGGUUAUAAAGUAUAAUUUAGCCCGUAAGGGUUUCGCUGGGGCGGCGAGGGGUAAAACACUCCUGCAGACCACGCUAUGCGCGGGCAAGGAAGAGCGUUAUGUAAAAAAUUAAGAAUAAGUUACUUUAGGGAUAACAGCGUGAUUCCCUUUUAGAGUUCUUAUCCAAGGGGGAGAUUACGACCUCGAUGUUGAAUUGAACCAUUCUCUUCUGGGCAGCAUCAGAGGGAGAGAGUCUGUUCGACUCUUAAUGGUUC